UGAACGCUAGCGACAGGCUUAACACAUGCAAGUCGAGGGGCAGCGGGGGUAGCAAUACCCGCCGGCGACCGGCGCACGGGUGAGUAACGCGUAUGCAACUUACCUAUCAGAGGGGGAUAACCCGGCGAAAGUCGGACUAAUACCGCAUGAAGCAGGGGCCCCGCAUGGGGAUAUUUGCUAAAGAUUCAUCGCUGAUAGAUAGGCAUGCGUUCCAUUAGGCAGUUGGCGGGGUAACGGCCCACCAAACCGACGAUGGAUAGGGGUUCUGAGAGGAAGGUCCCCCACAUUGGUACUGAGACACGGACCAAACUCCUACGGGAGGCAGCAGUGAGGAAUAUUGGUCAAUGGCCGAGAGGCUGAACCAGCCAAGUCGCGUGAGGGAUGAAGGUUCUAUGGAUCGUAAACCUCUUUUAUAAGGGAAUAAAGUGCGGGACGUGUCCCGUUUUGUAUGUACCUUAUGAAUAAGGAUCGGCUAACUCCGUGCCAGCAGCCGCGGUAAUACGGAGGAUCCGAGCGUUAUCCGGAUUUAUUGGGUUUAAAGGGUGCGUAGGCGGCCUUUUAAGUCAGCGGUGAAAGUCUGUGGCUCAACCAUAGAAUUGCCGUUGAAACUGGGGGGCUUGAGUAUGUUUGAGGCAGGCGGAAUGCGUGGUGUAGCGGUGAAAUGCAUAGAUAUCACGCAGAACCCCGAUUGCGAAGGCAGCCUGCCAAGCCAUUACUGACGCUGAUGCACGAAAGCGUGGGGAUCAAACAGGAUUAGAUACCCUGGUAGUCCACGCAGUAAACGAUGAUCACUAGCUGUUUGCGAUACACUGUAAGCGGCACAGCGAAAGCGUUAAGUGAUCCACCUGGGGAGUACGCCGGCAACGGUGAAACUCGAAGGAAUUGACGGGGGCCCGCACAAGCGGAGGAACAUGUGGUUUAAUUCGAUGAUACGCGAGGAACCUUACCCGGGUUUGAACGCAUUCGGACCGAGGUGGAAACACCUUUUCUAGCAAUAGCCGUUUGCGAGGUGCUGCAUGGUUGUCGUCAGCUCGUGCCGUGAGGUGUCGGCUUAAGUGCCAUAACGAGCGCAACCCUUGCCACUAGUUACUAACAGGUAAAGCUGAGGACUCUGGUGGGACUGCCAGCGUAAGCUGCGAGGAAGGCGGGGAUGACGUCAAAUCAGCACGGCCCUUACAUCCGGGGCGACACACGUGUUACAAUGGCGUGGACAAAGGGAGGCCACCUGGCGACAGGGAGCGAAUCCCCAAACCACGUCUCAGUUCGGAUCGGAGUCUGCAACCCGACUCCGUGAAGCUGGAUUCGCUAGUAAUCGCGCAUCAGUCAUGGCGCGGUGAAUACGUUCCCGGGCCUUGUACACACCGCCCGUCAAGCCAUGGGAGCCGGGGGUACCUGAAGUCCGUAACCGAAAGGAUCGGCCUAGGGUAAAACUGGUGACUGGGGCU
Molecule: ribosomal RNA, 1445 nt
Filed under: uncultured organism
Description: partial small subunit ribosomal RNA
Rfam family: Bacterial small subunit ribosomal RNA
Source: RNAcentral